GGUCACGCUUCUGUUCUGCACUUGACAGUCGCUGCUUCUGCACCACUGAGCUAAAUAUGUGUAAAUGUAGAGUAUCUGCGUUCCUAUGAGCUGUCAGCCACAUUGGGAAGCCUGUCUAUGAAUCUAAAGUCAGACUUCAAUGAUCCAACCCCACUCUCUGCACACAAGAUUGAUGGCAUGCUGCUGUUGACCCCCAAGAGGUUCAUACAAGUGAGACAGAAGUAAGAACACUGUGAUGGCGGCUGAAGCCCCACGAAACAUGAUCCUACGUGCUGUCGAAUCUGACCGUGUAAUUAAAUUAAAACUUGACUCCCGUCCGGCCUCUUUUGAUGAACUGAUUAAGAUUUUAAAAGAAAAACUGGAACUUGACUGUGAUUUCAAUUUGAAAUACGAAGAUCCAGACUUUGAUGGAAGGCUCACUUGCCUUGUUGACAUAGAGGAGUUACCACAAAAAUACUGUGUUCAUAUUUCCCUUACACAGGAUUCCCGUUCUGUUGCAUCAACUGAUACCUUUUCAGAUGUGUCAUCCCCAGAGCGUCUAAGCAGAUGGCCCCCAGGUCCUUUUCAGAUUCCCAAAUUUCCAUUUGACAUUGAGCUGACACUUAGAGAUGGGAAUACUGAAUUUGAAAAGAAUGAAAGACUUCAGUUGUCAAGAGACCAAAAACAUGGUAUUUUAGAGAAUCUGGCAUCUACCAUAUAUACAGUAGGUUCAAGGCUUACCCUAGUGACAAAGAAAUAGCAAUGGUCUUGUGAGCAAACAUCAUGUUUAAAAGAAGCAGGAUCUGACAGUGGUUGGAAUGGAUGGAAAAACAGCAUCAAGUUCAAAAAGGAAAAUUACAGGACUAAGAAGAGAAGAGCUGGAUGUCAGGAGGUCUCCGUAAAUGCUGGGAAAAGAAGCCAAAGAAACCCAGAGAAUGAACCUUCCCAUUCAAACAUCCAAGCGUGCAGAACUUCCUGCCUAACUUUCCUCAAGGAGAAGACCCCUCUAGUCUGGGCUGUAUGAGGCAGGCUGUUGUUGAGGAAGUAAAGAAGACUGAGAGAAACAUAUGUGUUAUUAGCCGGAUGAUGCAGACAACAUUUGCCUUGAGACGACAGACGAGUCAUGUCCUGCCCUCCUGUGAAAGAGCUGAUGGACCUCUGGCCUGCUCUUCAUAUGCCAGCUGAGGUGUAGGCAGAGUUUCAACGAAUCACAAACCAGAACCGUCCUAACACCUUUUAUGCGCAGCUAGAUCGCCACACUCCUCAUUUGAUGGCCUUAUUCAUACAGAAAGCUUCCAAAACUGGAAAGACUGCAAAUGCUUUGGCUGACAUUGUCAAAGCCCAUGAUGCACAGGAAUUACAUGAUGUCCACACAAGGCGUACCACUGUUCUCCAUGCCCUUCCUGUCUAUCUACGUGAGGAAUCCUCUGGAUUUUUGAGGACAUGUGUGGAUGAUACCAAUGAGCCGGACCUCGGAUGCAGCAGUUGUCCUCCUGACAACAAUCACCGAUGAUGCCGAGAGUCCAGUUACGUACGACCCAGUGAGAAUCUGUUAUCCUAGAGCAGUGGUUCCCAAACUUAUUUAGCCGCGCACCCCCUUCUAUGUCCCGACCAUGUCCUGGGCAUGCUCAGUUGAAGUUUCCCUCUCUGCGCGUUCAAGAUGUAAGAAAAAUAAUACGAAAGAAAUGCAACAAUGAAAACUUCAAAAAGGCAUCAACAACCAAGCAAGUGGAUCCAUAAAAUGGACUGAUUUUUUUAAAGGCAUUUUUAAAAAGUCUUUCAAAAUGGACAGAAUUAACACGUCAUGUUCAGAACAGUUUGCGUUCUCAUCUUUGAUUAAUCCUGGUAAACAGGUCUGUUUUUGUUCUGUUCUAAUUCUCUCUGUUUAAUACAUUUAAACAAAAUUACUUAGCUACUUUAUUAACUUUUUUCUCUACAUAAAGACGAAGUAUCAGUAAAUAGUGGAAAUUAAAUGUAUUGGUCGUAAGCAAAUAGCAGAUGUUAAAUGUUACUUGCAGUAUGUGUUUAUAGAAAAAAUAGAGAUACUUAAAUGUACUAAAAGAAUAUUACGUCAAGU
Molecule: non-coding RNA, 2056 nt
Organism: Nothobranchius furzeri (turquoise killifish)
Lineage: Eukaryota; Metazoa; Chordata; Actinopteri; Cyprinodontiformes; Nothobranchiidae
Source: RefSeq, a predicted model, not a curated record